GUUGAGCUGGCUCUUGUAGGGCAUGUGCUCGCCGACUUUCAAUAUUCAUCCACCUGUGAACCUUUUGUAGCAGAUUCUGGAAUAGGGAGGCGCUUGCGUUUCUCUUAGUACGGAGUCUACUAUGUUUGUUUUUUAACACACUUAAUGUAUGUUUAGAAUGUAUUUUAUUGGGACUUAAUUGACCCUUUAAAACUAUACAACUUUCAGCAACGGAUCUCUUGGCUCUCGCAUCGAUGAAGAACGCAGCGAAAUGCGAUAAGUAAUGUGAAUUGCAGAAUUCAGUGAAUCAUCGAAUCUUUGAACGCACCUUGCGCCUCUUGGUAUUCCGAGAGGCAUGCCUGUUUGAGUGUCAUUAAAUUAUCAACCUUGAAUGACUUGUCAUUUCAGGAUUGGAUGUGAGGGCUGCCGGCUUUGAACAAGAGUCGGCUCUCUUGAAAUGCAUUAGUGGAAACCGCUAUAGUGGACCACAUUGGUGUGAUAAUUAUCUACGCCAUUGGGUUUAUCUACGCUUUCGAAUGUUGGUGGCUCUUUAAUUAGGUCUCAACACUUCGGUUUGGAGG
Molecule: ribosomal RNA, 560 nt
Filed under: uncultured eukaryote
Lineage: Eukaryota
Description: partial 18S ribosomal RNA
Rfam family: 5.8S ribosomal RNA (bases 199-352)
Source: RNAcentral